AACAUCCAAAAACCAUUGAGAAGAAGUCUUUGAGAAAAGGGUCAAAGUAAACUUUCUUCUUCUUCUGAAACUUCUUCAUCUUUCUAUGUGCCUCUUAUUGUUAAGGACUAUUCUUGAUUUUUUCUUACAGGUAAUUUUCUCACAAUGGAUUUCUCGUGCUUUCAGAUAUGACAUGAUUUGAGCUUUUGUUUGAAGUUUUUGGAGUAAAAUUGAUUGUUUUUAGCGAAUUUGAGGCAAAUUGGGAAAUUUCUGAGUUUUAGAGGGUGAAACGGCUAUCUUUUGAAUUCAAGCUAACAUUUGUUUGAGCACUUGUGGAAACUCAUGAUGGGCCACAAUCUCUUUUAACAAUUCUCUAGCAAAUUUAUGUGUUUUGAAAGUGAUCCAGAGCUGGGACUUGAAUGGAAAUGUGUAUUCGCAAAGAAUUUGUAUGAUCAGGUGGGAGCUGCUUCAGUUGAAUUUAUCGAAGGAAAUCAAGGUGAUAACACUUUUGGCUGGUUGUAUGCGUAUGUUGGGAAUCUGAUAAGUUGAUCUUCCCUGUCCUUAAGGAUUUGUCACUUAUAGUUGAGCUUCGCCUUGUGAGUUUCAUUUCAAGGGGUUGUGAUUUGGAUUUGAACUUACCAUGGAUGAAGCUCCUUGCAGCGUCAAUGCACUGCCUCCGUUUAUUGCAAAGAUAUAUGAAAUGGUGGAUGACCCCUCCACUGAUCCAAUAGUCUCAUGGAGUUCAAAUAAUAAAAGUUUUAUUGUUCUUAAUCCUCCUGAUUUUGCAAGAGAUUUGUUGCCCAGAUACUUUAAGCACAAUAAUUUUUCCAGCUUUAUCCGACAGCUAAACACUUACGGAUUCAAGAAAAUAGAUCCCGAACAAUGGGAAUUUGCAAAUGAGGAUUUUCUUAGAGGUCAGCCACACCUUUUGAAGAAUAUCUAUAGACGGAAACCUGUUCACAGUCAUUCUGUACAGAAUAUUCAUAUCCUUUCAUCAUCUGCAUUGACUGAAUCGGAAAGACAAGGGUAUAAGGAAGAUAUUGAAAAGUUGAAGCAUGAGAACGAAUCGCUUCAUUUAGUACUACACAGACAUAAACAGGAUCAUCAAGGACUUGAAAUGCAAAUGCAGGUCCUUAACCAACGUGUCCAACAAGUGAAAGACCGACAAAAGAACGUGCUGUCUACUUUAGCUCGAACCAUAAAUAAACCAGGAUUAGCUUUGAGUCUCAUGCCACAACUGGAAAUGAAUGAAAGGAAGAGAAGGUUGCCAGGAAACAGUUUUCUUUACAAUGAAACAGGCCUUGAAGAUAAUCAAGCGAGUUCUUCUGAAAAUUCGACUAGGGAAAAUAUGGACCCAACUUCUCUUUUGACUCUCAACAAGGAAGUGCUAGAUCAGUUGGAACCUUCUUUGACCUUUUGGGAGUAUACACUGCGUGACAUUGAUCAAGCUAGAAUGAGACAGAGCUCUUCAAUAGACUUGGAUGAAUCUAUCAGUUGUGCCGAUAGCCCUGCUAUAUCUUACCCACAACUAACUGUUGAUGUUGGAUCUAAGGUUUCUGAUAUUGACAUGAACUCUGAGCCUAAUGGAAACACUACUCCUGAUGUUACUCCACCAGAAAACCGAGUAGAGACUGCUAGUAAUAAUGUGCCAACAGGAGUAAAUGAUGUAUUCUGGGAACAAUUCCUUACUGAGAACCCUGGUUCUACUGAUGUAAAGCCGGAAAGGGAAGAUAUGGAGAGCAAAAUAAGUGAAUCCAAGACAGUUGAGGAUGGGAAAUUUUGGUGGAACAGGAAGACUGUAAUUAGCCUUACAGAACAGUUGGGACAUCUUACUCCAGCAGAGAGAAUGUAAUGUGGCAGGGUAUGUACUAUUUUUGAUAGUAAAUGUUUUUUUGCCUGUUUCUUGUUGUAAAUUUAGAGAAAGUGAUUUGUCAGAGUACAUAGAAUUUUGGUAUAUUAACCUUCUUUUUUUGUUUUUACCUUGUUCAGCAUGACAUGAUAUAGUGAAUGAUAGAGUCGAUCAGUAGUAAUGCUAGUCUGGCACAAUUUCAUGUUUUAUGUAGUUAUAUUCUUUCCGGCCUUGCCUGUCCAUGUUACCGAUUUGUGUUACAUAAGGGUGUUCAGUUGUUUCAUGCUAUCAGUAGAAACACACGACGUGUGUAAUACUGUCUAUACUGAUUCUGGAUAUGUCAUGGUUGCGGAUAUCUUGUAUGGUUCUCGAUCUGUUAGCAUUUAAACUAAUUCCUCCUGGCCCUUAAGAAUGGUUUACCAGAGCUCGGGUAGAUUCCUAUGAGGUAAUAGUUGCUGCUCUACGCGUUCAGUAGCUCAGACGUUCUUGAUUGUUAAAAUGUUUGUUCACUGUACACACUGAUAUAUGUAUUGCUUCUUCUUUAGACAAUCAAUUGUGUCAAUUUAUUCUGUUUGA
RNA transcript from Solanum tuberosum (potato), 2404 nucleotides. It is a transcript of the gene named heat stress transcription factor A-4a-like, with no coding region annotated. The record is from RefSeq and is a predicted model, not a curated record. NCBI's taxonomy places the organism in Eukaryota, Viridiplantae, Streptophyta, Magnoliopsida, Solanales, Solanaceae. The transcript is spliced from 4 exons.